Molecule: transfer RNA, 74 nt
Filed under: Alphaproteobacteria bacterium HGW-Alphaproteobacteria-3
Lineage: Bacteria; Pseudomonadati; Pseudomonadota; Alphaproteobacteria
Description: tRNA-Gly
Rfam family: tRNA (bases 9-63)
About the family: Transfer RNA (tRNA) molecules are approximately 80 nucleotides in length. Their secondary structure includes four short double-helical elements and three loops (D, anti-codon, and T loops). Further hydrogen bonds mediate the characteristic L-shaped molecular structure. tRNAs have two regions of fundamental functional importance: the anti-codon, which is responsible for specific mRNA codon recognition, and the 3' end, to which the tRNAs corresponding amino acid is attached (by aminoacyl-tRNA synthetases). tRNAs cope with the degeneracy of the genetic code in two manners: having more than one tRNA (with a specific anti-codon) for a particular amino acid; and 'wobble' base-pairing, i.e. permitting non-standard base-pairing at the 3rd anti-codon position.
Source: RNAcentral
UCGGCUCUUCUCAGGGGUAGAGCACAACCUUGCCAAGGUUGGGGUCGUGAGUUCGAAUCUCAUCGCCCGCUCCA